GGGGCCGUAGCUCAGCUGGGAGAGCGUUCGCAUGGCAUGCGAAAGGUCAGGGGUUCGAUCCCCCUCGGCUCCA
Sphingomonas sp. Leaf357 is the source of this 73-nucleotide transfer RNA. It matches the Rfam family "tRNA". Rfam says of the family: Transfer RNA (tRNA) molecules are approximately 80 nucleotides in length. NCBI's taxonomy places the organism in Bacteria, Pseudomonadati, Pseudomonadota, Alphaproteobacteria, Sphingomonadales, Sphingomonadaceae. The record is from Rfam.